RNAcentral lists this long non-coding RNA (211 nucleotides) under Daucus carota (carrot). Its description in RNAcentral is "long non-coding RNA (DCAR_LNC004008)". Lineage: Eukaryota; Viridiplantae; Streptophyta; Magnoliopsida; Apiales; Apiaceae. The record is from RNAcentral.
UAACAUUUAGAACUGGUAUGUUAAAAACUCAGAUAUAAUUGGAGUUGCGUAAGAGCUCCGUUAUUCGGUAACGGACCAGCUUGUUAUGUUUGCGUAAAAGGCCCACGGCCCAGCCUAUUUGUUUGCGUAAGAGGUCUAUUGUAAGGCAAUGGCCCAACGUUAUAUGGAGACCUAGCUAGUCUUCAGUUCUGGAACAUGUUAUUUUAGAGCA